Spea bombifrons (plains spadefoot toad) is the source of this 881-nucleotide long non-coding RNA. RefSeq lists it as uncharacterized. The transcript is spliced from 2 exons. NCBI's taxonomy places the organism in Eukaryota, Metazoa, Chordata, Amphibia, Anura, Pelobatidae. The record is from RefSeq and is a predicted model, not a curated record.
AGGUCUCUGAUACAAAAAUGAACACCUUGUUUUAUCUAAUUAUACAGUGUUAGAUCAAAAAGGAAGGAAUUAUUAAACAUAAAUGUUUGGGACGUGGUUUCAUAUGUUUACUGUGGCUGAUGUCACUUAAUCACUUGCAUAGCUGGACAGCUUUAUCGAGUCCAAACCAAGUUGGAGCUAAACAUCCACAAUCCAUAUAGCCCACACAUGUCAACCUCUCUAGCUCCCACUCUUUAGUCCCCAAUCCUCAAUAUCCACCCACUAAUAACUAACCUGUUAAUUACCGCUUGAAAUGCAGCCUCCAUCCACCUCAUAACCUCCUGUUUCCUCCACUGUCUCCAACUCUCUUCCAAUUAUUUUCCUGUACCUAACCCUUCGCUCCUCACCUCUACACUUCCCUACUUCUUCCUGGUCUUUGUUUAAUCUUACUAUGCCCUCCACUCUGUUCACUUUGCUCCAAAUAUCCUCAGUUUUAGCCCCCCAGAGGUGACAGGAGGUGUUUGGAAGGGGGGCACGGGGAAGGCAGUCUGUUUGUAGAGGGAAAGGGCUGGUUCUAUGCCAAUCCAUCUCUGCACACACAGCAGAAAAAGACAGUCUGAGAGUUAGGGGGAGGGGGAGAGAGAGGACUUUACACAAGGAGGGAGGUGUGAAAACAUCUGAAUCAGCUGAGAGGUGUCUGUAAUAUAACCUCCAGAGAGGGAGAAGGAGAUAGCAAAAGACAGAGGGAACAAAAUAUAGAGAAAAAGAGGAAAAGGAAAUAAUAUAAGUAUGGAGUGCGUGAGGAAGAAAUUGUAUGAGGAAGAAACAGAGCACAAGAAGGGACAUAACAGUACCAUUCUCCAGCCUUUGACGAGUGACUACUCCUCACACCUCAAAGCCAA